AGCUCAGUCGGUAGAGGAUGAGACUCUUAAUCUCAGGGUCGUGGGUUCGUGCCCCAC
RNAcentral lists this transfer RNA (57 nucleotides) under Cricetulus griseus (Chinese hamster). It matches the Rfam family "tRNA", at positions 9 to 63 of the family's 71-position model. From Rfam's summary of the family: Transfer RNA (tRNA) molecules are approximately 80 nucleotides in length. The record is from Rfam by way of RNAcentral. Lineage: Eukaryota; Metazoa; Chordata; Mammalia; Rodentia; Cricetidae.